Molecule: long non-coding RNA, 957 nt
Filed under: Homo sapiens (human)
Lineage: Eukaryota; Metazoa; Chordata; Mammalia; Primates; Hominidae
Description: non-protein coding lnc-TUBB2A-5:1
Source: RNAcentral
UUAUGAUAUAUCAUAUUUCUUUAAUCUUCACAUUAGCCUUCUGUGCUAUUGCACUCUCCAUUUAUAGAUGAGGCAACUGAGGCUAAGAAAGGUUAGGAAGCAAGCCCUAGGUAACACAGCUGAAAAGUAAUUUUGAGCUGCUCAAUUUCAGGACUCUAUACUUGCAUAAUGACGGCGAAAGGUUAGGAAGCAAGGCCUGGGUAACACAGCUGAGAAGGGGCAGGGGGGAGUUUUGAGCUCUCAAUUUCAGGACUCUAUACUUGAUGAUGAUGAUGAUGAUUGCUAUUAUUAUUGAGGCACGGUGUGAUCACAGCUCCCCACAGCCUCAAACUCCUGGGCUCAAGUGAUCCUCCCACCUUAGCCUGCCAAGAAGCUAGGACUACAGGCAUACACCACCACACCUGGCUAAUAUUUUUUAAUGUUUUUGUGGAGAUAGGGUCUUGCUGUGUUGUCCACACUGGUCUCGAACUCAUGGCCUCAAGCGAUCCUCCCAGCUUGGCCUCCCAAAGUGCUGGGAUUACAGGCAUGAGCCACUAUACCUGGUCGUAUACUUGGAUUAUUGCAUAUUGUAAAAAUCACUGUAGUAGCAUUAACCUUUCAGUGAUUUCUCUGAAAUCAGCUGCUUCUAAAAUCUUGAAUAUUUACACUAUUUAUGCCUUUAUUAUAAUUAGAAAACCCUUUCCCUUUCAUAAAUACCACACAUUAAAAUGUACAUCAAAAUACUGCCUAAAAUAUUUUGUGAUUUAUUAAACAUUUUAUUCCUGAAACCCUAACCUCACGUGACAGACCCAAAGCAAAGAUGAUGAUUGUAGCAACAAGUAGAAAAUCUACCAAGCAGGACUGUGGGAGCUGGAAGGAGGUCUCCGUUACCAGCAAUAACCUAGGGUGUGAGUAUUUGUUUCCGAACCAAGUGCGGACAGUCUCGGUUCUGCUUUGCUGGUCUGUGUCGUCAUUGGC